This 473-nucleotide ribosomal RNA is filed under the name uncultured bacterium. Its description in RNAcentral is "bacterial SSU rRNA". It matches the Rfam family "Bacterial small subunit ribosomal RNA", at positions 30 to 490 of the family's 1533-position model. The record is from RNAcentral.
AUUGAACGCUGGCGGCAUGCCUUACACAUGCAAGUCGAACGGCAGCGGGCCUUCGGGUGCCGGCGAGUGGCGAACGGGUGAGUAAUGCAUCGGAACGUGCCAUUGAGUGGGGGAUAACGUAGCGAAAGUUACGCUAAUACCGCAUAUUCUGUGAGCAGGAAAGCAGGGGACCGCAAGGCCUUGCGCUCUUUGAGCGGCCGAUGUCAGAUUAGCUAGUUGGUGAGGUAAAGGCUUACCAAGGCGACGAUCUGUAGCGGGUCUGAGAGGAUGAUCCGCCACACUGGAACUGAGACACGGUCCAGACUCCUACGGGAGGCAGCAGUGGGGAAUUUUGGACAAUGGGCGCAAGCCUGAUCCAGCCAUGCCGCGUGAGUGAAGAAGGCCUCGGUUGGUUAAAGGACUCUUUCGGUCCGGGAACGAAAGUACGCAUGGGUUAAUACCCUAGUGUGGAUGACGGUACCGGAAGUAAGAAG